RNAcentral lists this long non-coding RNA (4596 nucleotides) under Cucumis sativus (cucumber). RNAcentral's name for it is "long non-coding RNA (CSAT_LNC002320)". Lineage: Eukaryota; Viridiplantae; Streptophyta; Magnoliopsida; Cucurbitales; Cucurbitaceae. The record is from RNAcentral.
UUUUCUUCCCAUGGUUUAGUUGUGUUUCUUUGAUCUUGUGCAACCUAUUUAGACCGAUGAUAGCCCGCGGAUAGGUGUGGAAACCCAUCUAUAUUGCACCCAGUAGGACACAGAAAAAAAGCCCAGGGCCUAGGGGUCGGGUGGGGCUCCUUUGGGGUGCACAACGGCUGUGCAAAAAACGGUCCAAAAAUCGCCAAGGCUUUACAGACGAAAAAUCGGCCGAUUUUUAACCAUGUGAGAAACGUCCCGAAAAUUCACAGAUAACUACUAGGCGGCCUCACUUUGAGUAAUAUCAAAGUUUUUUCCCACAAAAACCGCUCGGAGAUGCCCAGACUCAGUUUUUAUUUUCGUCCCAAUACUUUUCUUCCCAUGGUUUAGUUGUGUUUCUUUGAUCUUGUGCAACCUAUUUAGACCGAUGAUAGCCCGCGGAUAGGUGUGGAAACCCAUCUAUAUUGCACCCAGUAGACACAGAAAAAAAGCCCAGGGCCUAGGGGUCGGGUGGGGCUCGUUCGGGGUGCACAACGGUUGCGCCAAAAACGGUCCAAAAAUGGCCAAGGCUUUACCAUACGAAAAAUCGGCCGAUUUUUAACCAUGUGAGAAACGUCCCGAAAGUUCACAGAUAACUACUAGGGGCCUCACUUGAGUAAUCUCAAAGUUUUUUCCCACAAAAACCGCUCGGAGAUGCCCAGACUCAGUUUUUAUUUUCGUCCCAAUACUUUUCUUCCCAUGGUAGUUGUGUUUCUUUGAUCUUGUGCAACCUAUUUAGACCGAUGAUAGCCCGCGGAUAGGUGUGGAAACCCAUCUAUAUUGCACCCAGUAGGACACAGAAAAAAAGCCCAGGGCCUAGGGGUCGGGUGGGGCUCGUUCGGGUGCACAACGGUUGCGCCAAAAACGGUCCAAAAAUGGCCAAGGCUUUACCACACGAAAAAUCGGCCGAUUUUUAACCAUGUGAGAAACGUCCCGAAAGUUCACAGAUAACUACUAGGCGGCCUCACUUGAGUAAUCUCAAAGUUUUUUCCCACAAAAACCGCUCGGAGAUGCCCAGACUCAGUUUUUAUUUUCGUCCCAAUACUUUUCUUCCCAUGGUUAGUUGUGUUUCUUUGAUCUUGUGCAACCUAUUUAGACCGAUGAUAGCCCGCGGAUAGGUGUGGAAACCCAUCUAUAUUGCACCCAGUAGGACACAGAAAAAAAGCCCAGGGCCUAGGGGUCGGGUGGGGCUCGUUCGGGGUGCACAACGGUUGCGCCAAAAACGGUCCAAAAAUGGCCAAGGCUUUACCACACGAAAAAUCGGCCGAUUUUUAACCAUGCGAGAAACGUCCCGAAAGUUCACAGAUAACUACUAGGCGGCCUCACUUGAGUAAUCUCAAAGUUUUUUCCCACAAAAACCGCUCGGAGAUGCCCAGACUCAGUUUUUAUUUUCGUCCCAAUACUUUUCUUCCCAUGGUUAGUUGUGUUUCUUUGAUCUUGUGCAACCUAUUUAGACCGAUGAUAGCCCGCGGAUAGGUGUGGAAACCCAUCUAUAUUGCACCCAGUAGGACACAGAAAAAAAGCCCAGGGCCUAGGGGUCGGGUGGGGCUCGUUCGGGGUGCACAACGGUUGCGCCAAAAACGGUCCAAAAAUGGCCAAGGCUUUACCACACGAAAAAUCGGCCGAUUUUUAACCAUGCGAGAAACGUCCCGAAAGUUCACAGAUAACUACUAGGCGGCCUCACUUGAGUAAUCUCAAAGUUUUUUCCCACAAAAACCGCUCGGAGAUGCCCAGACUCAGUUUUUAUUUUCGUCCCAAUACUUUUCUUCCCAUGGUUAGUUGUGUUUCUUUGAUCUUGUGCAACCUAUUUAGACCGAUGAUAGCCCGCGGAUAGGUGUGGAAACCCAUCUAUAUUGCACCCAGUAGGACACAGAAAAAAAGCCCAGGGCCUAGGGGUCGGGUGGGGCUCGUUCGGGGUGCACAACGGUUGCGCCAAAAACGGUCCAAAAAUGGCCAAGGCUUUACCACACGAAAAAUCGGCCGAUUUUUAACCAUGCGAGAAACGUCCCGAAAGUUCACAGAUAACUACUAGGCGGCCUCACUUGAGUAAUCUCAAAGUUUUUUCCCACAAAAACCGCUCGGAGAUGCCCAGACUCAGUUUUUAUUUUCGUCCCAAUACUUUUCUUCCCAUGGUUUAGUUGUGUUUCUUUGAUCUUGUGCAACCUAUUUAGACCGAUGAUAGCCCGCGGAUAGGUGUGGAAACCCAUCUAUAUUGCACCCAGUAGGACACAGAAAAAAAGCCCAGGGCCUAGGGGUCGGGUGGGGCUCGUUCGGGUGCACAACGGUUGCGCCAAAAACGGUCCAAAAAUGGCCAAGGCUUUACCACAGAAAAAAUCGGCCGAUUUUUAACCAUGCGAGAAACGUCCCGAAAGUUCACAGAUAACUACUAGGCGGCCUCACUUGAGUAAUCUCAAAGUUUUUUCCCACAAAAACCGCUCGGAGAUGCCCAGACUCAGUUUUUAUUUUCGUCCCAAUACUUUUCUUCCCAUGGUUAGUUGUGUUUCUUUGAUCUUGUGCAACCUAUUUAGACCGAUGAUAGCCCGCGGAUAGGUGUGGAAACCCAUCUAUAUUGCACCCAGUAGGACACAGAAAAAAAGCCCAGGGCCUAGGGGUCGGGUGGGGCUCGUUCGGGGUGCACAACGGUUGCGCCAAAAACGGUCCAAAAAUGGCCAAGGCUUUACCACACGAAAAAUCGGCCGAUUUUUAACCAUGCGAGAAACGUCCCGAAAGUUCACAGAUAACUACUAGGCGGCCUCACUUGAGUAAUCAAAGUUUUUUCCCACAAAAACGCUCGGAGAUGCCCAGACUCAGUUUUUAUUUUCGUCCCAAUACUUUUCUUCCCAUGGUUAGUUGUGUUUUUUGAUCUUGUGCAACCUAUUUAGACCGAUGAUAGCCCGCGGAUAGGUGUGGAAACCCAUCUAUAUUGCACCCAGUAGGACACAGAAAAAAAGCCCAGGGCCUAGGGGUCGGGUGGGGCUCGUUCGGGGUGCACAACGGUUGCGCCAAAAACGGUCCAAAAAUGGCCAAGGCUUUACCACCGAAAAAUCGGCCGAUUUUUAACCAUGCGAGAAACGUCCCGAAAGUUCACAGAUAACUACUAGGCGGCCUCACUCUGAGUAAUCAAAGUUUUUUCCCACAAAAACCGCUCGGAGAUGCCCAGACUCAGUUUUUAUUUUCGUCCCAAUACUUUUCUUCCCAUGGUGUAGUUGUGUUUCUUUGAUCUUGUGCAACCUAUUUAGACCGAUGAUAGCCCGCGGAUAGGUGUGGAAACCCAUCUAUAUUGCACCCAGUAGGACACAGAAAAAAAGCCCAGGGCCUAGGGGUCGGGUGGGGCUCGUUCGGGGUGCACAACGGUUGCGCCAAAAACGGUCCAAAAAUGGCCAAGGCUUUACCACACGAAAAAUCGGCCGAUUUUUAACCAUGUGAGAAACGUCCCGAAAGUUCACAGAUAACUACUAGGCGGCCUCACUUGAGUAAUCUCAAAGUUUUUUCCCACAAAAACGCUCGGAGAUGCCCAGACUCAGUUUUUAUUUUCGUCCCAAUACUUUUCUUCCCAUGGUUAGUUGUGUUUCUUUGAUCUUGUGCAACCUAUUUAGACCGAUGAUAGCCCGCGGAUAGGUGUGGAAACCCAUCUAUAUUGCACCCAGUAGGACACAGAAAAAAAGCCCAGGGCCUAGGGGUCGGGUGGGGCUCGUUCGGGGUGCACAACGGUUGCGCCAAAAACGGUCCAAAAAUGGCCAAGGCUUUACCACACGAAAAAUCGGCCGAUUUUUAACCAUGCGAGAAACGUCCCGAAAGUUCACAGAUAACUACUAGGCGGCCUCACUUUGAGUAAUCUCAAAGUUUUUUCCCACAAAAACCGCUCGGAGAUGCCCAGACUCAGUUUUUAUUUUCGUCCCAAUACUUUUCUUCCAUGGUUAGUUGUGUUUCUUUGAUCUUGUGCAACCUAUUUAGACCGAUGAUAGCCCGCGGAUAGGUGUGGAAACCCAUCUAUAUUGCACCCAGUAGGACACAGAAAAAAAGCCCAGGGCCUAGGGUCGGGUGGGGCUCGUUCGGGGUGCACAACGGUUGCGCCAAAAACGGUCCAAAAAUGGCCAAGGCUUUACCACACGAAAAAUCGGCCGAUUUUUAACCAUGCGAGAAACGUCCCGAAAGUUCACAGAUAACUACUAGGCGGCCUCACUUUGAGUAAUCUCAAAGUUUUUUCCCACAAAAACCGCUCGAAGAUGCCCAGCUCAGUUUUUAUUUUCGUCCCAAUACUUUUCUUCCCAUGGUGUAGUUGUGUUUCUUUGAUCUUGUGCAACCUAUUUAGACCGAUGAUAGCCCGCGGAUAGGUGUGGAAACCCAUCUAUAUUGCACCCAGUAGGACACAGAAAAAAGCCCAGGGCCUAGGGGUCGGGUGGGGCUCGUUCGGGGUGCACAACGGUUGCGCCAAAAACGGUCCAAAAAUGGCCAAGGCUUUACCACACGAAAAAUCGGCCGAUUUUUAACCAUGGGAGAAACGUCCCGAAAGUUCACAGAUAACUACUAGGCGGCCUCGCUUUGAGUAAUCUCAAAGUUUUUUCCCAN